GUCUACAGUCAUGCCACCUGAACAAGCCUGAUGUCUGAUUUCGGAAGCUAAACAGGGUCGGGCCUGGUUAGAACUUGAAUGGGAGACCACCUAGGGAGACCAGGUGCUGUAGGCA
Molecule: ribosomal RNA, 115 nt
Filed under: Pteropus alecto (black flying fox)
Lineage: Eukaryota; Metazoa; Chordata; Mammalia; Chiroptera; Pteropodidae
Source: RNAcentral